AUUGAACGCUGGCGGCAGGCCUAACACAUGCAAGUCGAAUGGUAACAGGAAACAGCUUGCUGUUUCGCUGACGAGUGGCGGACGGGUGAGUAAUGUCUGGGAAACUGCCUGAUGGAGGGGGAUAACUACUGGAAACGGUAGCUAAUACCGCAUAACGUCGCAAGACCAAAGAGGGGGACCUUCGGGCCUCUUGCCAUCAGAUGUGCCCAGACGGGAUUAGCUAGUAGGUGGGGUAACGGCUCACCUAGGCGACGAUCCCUAGCUGGUCUGAGAAGAUGACCAGCCACACUGGAACUGAGACACGGUCCAGACUCCUACGGGAGGCAGCAGUGGGGAAUAUUGCACAAUGGGCGCAAGCCUGAUGCAGCCAUGCCGCGUGUAUGAAGAAGGCCUUCGGGUUGUAAAGUACUUUCAGCGGGGAGGAAGGGAGUAAAGUUAAUACCUUUGCUCAUUGACGUUACCCGCAGAAGAAGCACCGGCUAACUCCGUG
RNAcentral lists this ribosomal RNA (490 nucleotides) under uncultured bacterium. Its description in RNAcentral is "partial 16S ribosomal RNA". It matches the Rfam family "Bacterial small subunit ribosomal RNA", at positions 30 to 507 of the family's 1533-position model. The record is from RNAcentral.